Molecule: ribosomal RNA, 2906 nt
Filed under: Salmonella enterica subsp. enterica serovar Goldcoast
Lineage: Bacteria; Pseudomonadati; Pseudomonadota; Gammaproteobacteria; Enterobacterales; Enterobacteriaceae
Description: 23S ribosomal RNA
Rfam family: Bacterial large subunit ribosomal RNA
Source: RNAcentral
GGUUAAGCGACUAAGCGUACACGGUGGAUGCCCUGGCAGUCAGAGGCGAUGAAGGGCGUGCUAAUCUGCGAUAAGCGCCGGUAAGGUGAUAUGAACCGUUAUAACCGGCGAUACCCGAAUGGGGAAACCCAGUGUGACUCGUCACACUAUCAUUAACUGAAUCCAUAGGUUAAUGAGGCGAACCGGGGGAACUGAAACAUCUAAGUACCCCGAGGAAAAGAAAUCAACCGAGAUUCCCCCAGUAGCGGCGAGCGAACGGGGAGGAGCCCAGAGCCUGAAUCAGCAUGUGUGUUAGUGGAAGCGUCUGGAAAGGCGCGCGAUACAGGGUGACAGCCCCGUACACAAAAGCGCAUGUGCUGUGAGCUCGAUGAGUAGGGCGGGACACGUGGUAUCCUGUCUGAAUAUGGGGGGACCAUCCUCCAAGGCUAAAUACUCCUGACUGACCGAUAGUGAACCAGUACCGUGAGGGAAAGGCGAAAAGAACCCCGGCGAGGGGAGUGAAAAAGAACCUGAAACCGUGUACGUACAAGCAGUGGGAGCACCCUUUGGGGUGUGACUGCGUACCUUUUGUAUAAUGGGUCAGCGACUUAUAUUCUGUAGCAAGGUUAACCGAAUAGGGGAGCCGGAGGGAAACCGAGUCUUAAUUGGGCGUUAAGUUGCAGGGUAUAGACCCGAAACCCGGUGAUCUAGCCAUGGGCAGGUUGAAGGUUGGGUAACACUAACUGGAGGACCGAACCGACUAAUGUUGAAAAAUUAGCGGAUGACCUGUGGCUGGGGGUGAAAGGCCAAUCAAACCGGGAGAUAGCUGGUUCUCCCCGAAAGCUAUUUAGGUAGCGCCUCGUGAAUUCAUCUCCGGGGGUAGAGCACUGUUUCGGCUAGGGGGCCAUCCCGGCUUACCAACCCGAUGCAAACUGCGAAUACCGGAGAAUGUUAUCACGGGAGACACACGGCGGGUGCUAACGUCCGUCGUGAAGAGGGAAACAACCCAGACCGCCAGCUAAGGUCCCAAAGUCAUGGUUAAGUGGGAAACGAUGUGGGAAGGCCCAGACAGCCAGGAUGUUGGCUUAGAAGCAGCCAUCAUUUAAAGAAAGCGUAAUAGCUCACUGGUCGAGUCGGCCUGCGCGGAAGAUGUAACGGGGCUAAACCAUGCACCGAAGCUGCGGCAGCGACACUCAGGCGUUGUUGGGUAGGGGAGCGUUCUGUAAGCCUGUGAAGGUGGCCUGUGAGGGUUGCUGGAGGUAUCAGAAGUGCGAAUGCUGACAUAAGUAACGAUAAAGCGGGUGAAAAGCCCGCUCGCCGGAAGACCAAGGGUUCCUGUCCAACGUUAAUCGGGGCAGGGUGAGUCGACCCCUAAGGCGAGGCCGAAAGGCGUAGUCGAUGGGAAACGGGUUAAUAUUCCCGUACUUGGUGUUACUGCGAAGGGGGGACGGAGAAGGCUAUGUUGGCCGGGCGACGGUUGUCCCGGUUUAAGCGUGUAGGUGUGUGUUCCAGGUAAAUCCGGUUCACUUUAACACUGAGGCGUGAUGACGAGGCACUACGGUGCUGAAGCAACAAAUGCCCUGCUUCCAGGAAAAGCCUCUAAGCAUCAGGUAACAUCAAAUCGUACCCCAAACCGACACAGGUGGUCAGGUAGAGAAUACCAAGGCGCUUGAGAGAACUCGGGUGAAGGAACUAGGCAAAAUGGUGCCGUAACUUCGGGAGAAGGCACGCUGACACGUAGGUGAAGUGAUUUACUCAUGGAGCUGAAGUCAGUCGAAGAUACCAGCUGGCUGCAACUGUUUAUUAAAAACACAGCACUGUGCAAACACGAAAGUGGACGUAUACGGUGUGACGCCUGCCCGGUGCCGGAAGGUUAAUUGAUGGGGUCAGCGCAAGCGAAGCUCCUGAUCGAAGCCCCGGUAAACGGCGGCCGUAACUAUAACGGUCCUAAGGUAGCGAAAUUCCUUGUCGGGUAAGUUCCGACCUGCACGAAUGGCGUAAUGAUGGCCAGGCUGUCUCCACCCGAGACUCAGUGAAAUUGAACUCGCUGUGAAGAUGCAGUGUACCCGCGGCAAGACGGAAAGACCCCGUGAACCUUUACUAUAGCUUGACACUGAACAUUGAGCCUUGAUGUGUAGGAUAGGUGGGAGGCUUUGAAGUGUGGACGCCAGUCUGCAUGGAGCCGACCUUGAAAUACCACCCUUUAAUGUUUGAUGUUCUAACGUGGACCCGUAAUCCGGGUUGCGGACAGUGUCUGGUGGGUAGUUUGACUGGGGCGGUCUCCUCCUAAAGAGUAACGGAGGAGCACGAAGGUUGGCUAAUCCUGGUCGGACAUCAGGAGGUUAGUGCAAUGGCAUAAGCCAGCUUGACUGCGAGCGUGACGGCGCGAGCAGGUGCGAAAGCAGGUCAUAGUGAUCCGGUGGUUCUGAAUGGAAGGGCCAUCGCUCAACGGAUAAAAGGUACUCCGGGGAUAACAGGCUGAUACCGCCCAAGAGUUCAUAUCGACGGCGGUGUUUGGCACCUCGAUGUCGGCUCAUCACAUCCUGGGGCUGAAGUAGGUCCCAAGGGUAUGGCUGUUCGCCAUUUAAAGUGGUACGCGAGCUGGGUUUAGAACGUCGUGAGACAGUUCGGUCCCUAUCUGCCGUGGGCGCUGGAGAACUGAGGGGGGCUGCUCCUAGUACGAGAGGACCGGAGUGGACGCAUCACUGGUGUUCGGGUUGUCAUGCCAAUGGCACUGCCCGGUAGCUAAAUGCGGAAGAGAUAAGUGCUGAAAGCAUCUAAGCACGAAACUUGCCCCGAGAUGAGUUCUCCCUGAGACUUAGAGUCUCCUGAAGGAACGUUGAAGACGACGACGUUGAUAGGCCGGGUGUGUAAGCGCAGCGAUGCGUUGAGCUAACCGGUACUAAUGAACCGUGAGGCUUAACCUU